This is a long non-coding RNA of Oncorhynchus nerka (sockeye salmon), 1236 nucleotides long. RefSeq lists it as uncharacterized. The transcript has 2 exons. NCBI's taxonomy places the organism in Eukaryota, Metazoa, Chordata, Actinopteri, Salmoniformes, Salmonidae. The record is from RefSeq and is a predicted model, not a curated record.
UAGAAAAAGCAGACAUUGUGUUGGAGAGGAAGAUAACGGUAGAUAACGGCCUCUGGUAUUGAGAAACAAACUGAAUUGUUCACUCACUGUUGUACGCAAUUUGAUUUUGUGUGUGUGUGUGUGUUUUAAGCAACGCUCCCCACACAACCUGACAGAGCUUGAGAGGAUCUGCAGAGAAGAAGGCGAGAAACUCCCCAAAUACAGACACCCUUCGGCUCCCCCUCCAAAGGAAGUAGGGAUAAAUGGACAUGCCCAGAGUUGCAGAACAAACACCCUGAGAUUUUACGUAUCCCCUCACGAGGAAAAGGGGGGAUCUGGCGCCGAAGGGGUGGAUUACGUUUCUGGGAUAUGACUUCACAUAGAAAUAUAUGUGUGUAUGUGUCUUCUUAUUUGAUAUUUUUGUGUGAAUGUGCGUAUGUGUAAUAGAGCAUGUGCAUAUGUGUCAGUGUGUGGGCGUGUCUGUCUCAUCGGGGGCCAGGGGUCUCCAGCGUCCUGCCAGCACCUCCUGGGCGUGUGGUGAUAAGGUGGCCUCCAGUAUCUGGCGUCAUUACCCAGGGAUAAAGGCCACUCUCACUGUCACUGAGGAGUGUAUGCUCUGACACACACACACACACACACACACACACACACACACACACACACACACACACACACACACACACACACACACACACACACACACACACACACACAAACACAAACACAAACACACACACGCACCAGCCUCCAAGGCUUUACGUAACCCUAGAUGACGACUGUUCAUGGAGUGCCAACCAUUGGAUUGAUGGUGCCCAUAAUGAAGAUCUCUGACCCUCUACAAUGCUGAGGGCUGAUAAGUGAACUACAAAUCUUGGUCACUUUCCAGUUUUUACCAAUCCUGAACACAACACUACAAGUAUUGAGCCCUUAUUUGAAACAGAGGCUAUGGCUGAAGUAGCUGAAGCUUACAUUACAGCUUGAUUUUGUAGGUUUGUCUGUAUUUCAAUCAUCACAUAAUUGACAUAUUUUUACAUAUUGUUGAAAUAAUAGACAUUCAUAGGCGGUAUGUUAGAAUUAAUACAAAUUCAUAUUAUUUUUAUUCUAAACUAAAGGAAACACAAUACUAAACUAAACAAAAUACUGACCUUUAUGAAGAGUUCAAUAGUCGGGUCUUUGUCGGUGUUCUGUCGUAGUGCCAUUUUGUCCAAAAGCUGUGUUGUGUGGUGCCAAGUUCAGAAACGUUUUUCCAACAAGUGU